AGUUUGUGCAGGGCCGGCGGCCGGGAGCGAGCGAAAGGAGAUGUGUGGGGGAGGGGCGGACGGGCUGUCUGAGUUUCGGGGAAUUUCUCUCGCCGUGGUUGUGCUGCAGACAGGAACUGGGUGAAACUGGAGCCGGAGCACGAUGCUGCUCUGGCCGCUGCUGAGCCACUGCGCUAAUGUCAGAACCGGCUGCGCUGGGCGAUGUGUAAGAUGCCAGCAGAUAUCCUACAAUAUGCCAUGAAAAAGAGAUCUAUUUUGCCCUUACCAAGCAAGAGUGCCUUUAGGCUAAAGGUCUGUAAACUGCUUUGCGAUGUUCUAAUUAAAGGAGCUAUAGAAUUGCAAACAUCACUUUGCUGUGAGCCAGAUUCUUCCAUCUUUCCUCAAAUAGUAUCUUUUCCCCAAAGAGACUACUUAACAACCGGUGCCUCAUUCAAUGUUCAGAAUGGACAGUGUUCUUAAAGUUUCUUUAACAAUUUUUGUGUGUGUAAUAUUUCAGUUACUUAUUAGUUUCCAAUAUAAAAGAUUUUUUUGAUCAUUUUUUCAGGAACUCAAUCACUUAUGUUGUUUACAGCAGGCCUUU
This is a non-coding RNA of Chelonoidis abingdonii (Abingdon island giant tortoise), 580 nucleotides long. The record is from RefSeq and is a predicted model, not a curated record. NCBI's taxonomy places the organism in Eukaryota, Metazoa, Chordata, Testudines, Testudinidae.